Molecule: ribosomal RNA, 297 nt
Filed under: uncultured bacterium
Lineage: Bacteria
Description: partial 16S ribosomal RNA
Rfam family: Bacterial small subunit ribosomal RNA
Source: RNAcentral
AUGAACCUACGGGGCGCAGCAGUAGGGAAUUUUCGUCAAUGGGCGCAAGCCUGAACGAGCAAUGCCGCGUGAACGAGGAAGGUCUUCGGAUCGUAAAGUUCUGUUGAAGGGGAAAAAGAGCGGAGAGAGGAAAUGAACUCCGAUUGAUAUUAUACUUCGAGGAAGUCACGGCUAACUACGUGCCAGCAGCCGCGGUAAUACGUAGGUGGCGAGCGUUAUCCGGAAUGAUUGGGCGUAAAGGGUGCGUAGGCGGCCUGCUAAGUCUGGAGUGAACGGUACCGGCUCAACCGGUACAGG